RNAcentral lists this ribosomal RNA (253 nucleotides) under uncultured bacterium. Its description in RNAcentral is "partial 16S ribosomal RNA". It matches the Rfam family "Bacterial small subunit ribosomal RNA", at positions 524 to 776 of the family's 1533-position model. The record is from RNAcentral.
UACGUAGGGGGCAAGCGUUGUCCGGAAUCAUUGGGCGUAAAGAGCGUGUAGGCGGUUCGGUAAGUCGGCUGUGAAAGCCCAGGGCUCAACCCUGGGAUGCCGGUCGAUACUGCCGGACUAGAGUUCGGAAGAGGCGAGUGGAAUUCCCGGUGUAGCGGUGAAAUGCGCAGAUAUCGGGAGGAACACCUAUGGCGAAGGCAGCUCGCUGGGACGUUACUGACGCUGAGACGCGAAAGCGUGGGGAGCAAACAGG